Molecule: transfer RNA, 43 nt
Filed under: Bronchocela cristatella (Green crested lizard)
Lineage: Eukaryota; Metazoa; Chordata; Lepidosauria; Squamata; Agamidae
Description: partial tRNA-Ala
Source: RNAcentral
UAAGACCUGAAAGACUCCACUUUCAUCUUCCGAAUGCAACUCA